UGUACCAUCCCCUCAAUACCCCGUUCAGUAUGAGGGUGAACUAUACCUCCUAACCCUUUCUAGUAUGGGACUUCUUAGCCCCAUCCGAUUGAGAUAAUGUCUACGGUAGGGUUUGUCCUAAGUACCAGGUUCGUACACCAUUUUUCAUGAUACCCGGUAGGCCCUUUAUGCAUAUAAUCACACUAUUAACCAGUCAUUGAUUUCAUACUAGAAUCUUAUUCCAU
This 224-nucleotide long non-coding RNA is filed under the name Carica papaya (papaya). RNAcentral's name for it is "long non-coding RNA (CPAP_LNC002717)". The record is from RNAcentral. Lineage: Eukaryota; Viridiplantae; Streptophyta; Magnoliopsida; Brassicales; Caricaceae.